AGCUGUCCUCACUUUCCCUUUCCGGCUGGCAGGUGGAGGAAAUCAAGCAUCCCAAAAGCUGCUACAGGAUCUUGCUGUUCUUCGGGAACAAAACCUACUUCCGGAAAAAAGUGGUUACCAAGGAAUAUCUCGUUAACAUUACUGAAUUCAGAGCCCCUCAUUCCUCUCCAGUUCAGUGGUAUCAGGAUUAUGAGCAUGAGGCCCACAGCCACGCACACCAGAACAGCAGUCUUAACUUCUUCAACUGGUUUUCUGACCACAACUUUACCGACUCUUACACGAUUGCUGAGCUCAUCACUGAAGACCUGUGUCUCACUCCCUUGUGCUACUAUACAAG
Long non-coding RNA from Lemur catta (Ring-tailed lemur), 337 nucleotides. RefSeq lists it as uncharacterized. The record is from RefSeq and is a predicted model, not a curated record. NCBI's taxonomy places the organism in Eukaryota, Metazoa, Chordata, Mammalia, Primates, Lemuridae. The transcript has 3 exons.